RNAcentral lists this ribosomal RNA (429 nucleotides) under Chloroflexota bacterium. RNAcentral's name for it is "Chloroflexi bacterium partial 16S ribosomal RNA". It matches the Rfam family "Bacterial small subunit ribosomal RNA", at positions 355 to 776 of the family's 1533-position model. The record is from RNAcentral. Lineage: Bacteria; Bacillati; Chloroflexota.
UGGGGAAUAUUGCACAAUGGGCGCAAGCCUGAUGCAGCCAUGCCGCGUGUGUGAAGAAGGCCUUCGGGUUGUAAAGCACUUUCAGCGGGGAGGAAGGCGUUAAGGUUAAUAACCUUGGCGAUUGACGUUACCCGCAGAAGAAGCACUGGCUAACUCCGUGCCAGCAGCCGCGGUAAUACGGAGGGUGCAAGCGUUAAUCGGAAUUACUGGGCGUAAAGCGCACGCAGGCGGUCUGUCAAGUCGGAUGUGAAAUCCCCGGGCUCAACCUGGGAACUGCAUUCGAAACUGGCAGGCUAGAGUCUUGUAGAGGGGGGUAGAAUUCCAGGUGUAGCGGUGAAAUGCGUAGAGAUCUGGAGGAAUACCGGUGGCGAAGGCGGCCCCCUGGACAAAGACUGACGCUCAGGUGCGAAAGCGUGGGGAGCAAACAGG